Long non-coding RNA from Ctenocephalides felis (cat flea), 638 nucleotides. RefSeq lists it as uncharacterized. The transcript is spliced from 4 exons. The record is from RefSeq and is a predicted model, not a curated record. NCBI's taxonomy places the organism in Eukaryota, Metazoa, Arthropoda, Insecta, Siphonaptera, Pulicidae.
UCAAAUUUCAAUUGCUGUAGUGUUUAUUAGAAAAUAGUAUUAUUACAAUGUCAAAGUUUUGUGUGUGAAGUGAUUUUUGUGAUACAUUCCAAGGAGUUUUUAUUAUCGUAGUAUGGAUGCUGACUUCCAGCUAAUCAAGAAUGAUUGUAAGCCGCUGUGUCUGCCGACAGACAGAAGCGCUGCGCCGAUUAUGCAAAGCUGAGGACAGAGAAGGACAAAUGUAUUAUGCAAAUGUGCGAUUGCGCUCGAGCACUAUUUCGCACUCUAUUCCACGCAUAGGAUUAAUGCGCAAGACAAGGACAAAGAUACGAUGCGUAGACGCCGGCACGCGUGUCGAGCGGUGGGGAUUGGCGUGCAUCGACAGCAUCGACAGCACUUGGCCUUCGACUGCGGCGGUGUACGGCUAGAAGGGUCUCGGCGAAGUGGACUCGACCGGAUUGUUUCUUCAGUAUGUUCAGUGAGUGAAUUGAAUUCUGUAUCGAAGCUGCGAUUCCGAUAACCGAUUACGUUUAGUACAUAUUGAGUUACAACAAUUUGGUAGUCCAGACAAGAUGUUGCAGUCCAUUUCACAGGAGAAAUUAAAAUUGAUGCAGUCUAAUUUACGUGAGGCAUUGAACCUGAUGCAAUACAGUUUACAG